Molecule: ribosomal RNA, 1060 nt
Filed under: Citromicrobium sp.
Lineage: Bacteria; Pseudomonadati; Pseudomonadota; Alphaproteobacteria; Sphingomonadales; Sphingomonadaceae
Description: bacterial LSU rRNA
Rfam family: Bacterial large subunit ribosomal RNA
Source: RNAcentral
GUGGAUUCUCAAGCGUGAGGUAAGAGCAUUUGGUGGAUGCCUUGGCAUGUGCAGGCGAUGAAGGACGUGGCACGCUGCGAUAAGCGUCGGGGAGUUGUGAGCAAACUUUGAUCCGGCGAUUUCCGAAUGGGGAAACCCACCCUCACCAUUAAACAUCUCAGUACCCGGAGGAAAAGACAUCAACAGAGAUUCCCGUAGUAGUGGCGAGCGAACCGGGACCAGGCCAAUGCUUCUUCGUUAAUUAGCAAAACACUUUGGAAAGAGUGGCCAUAGUGGGUGACAGCCCCGUAUGCGAAAGUGAGCGAAGAAGAUUCGAGUAGGGCGGGACACGUGAAAUCCUGUCUGAACAUGGGGGGACCACCCUCCAAGCCUAAAUACUCGCACAUGACCGAUAGCGAACACAGUACCGUGAGGGAAAGGUGAAAAGCACCCCGAUUAGGGGAGUGAAACAGUACCUGAAACCGGAUGCUUACAAGCAGUUGGAGCCCCAUAGGGGGUGACAGCGUACCUCUUGCAUAAUGGGUCAGUGACUUAAUCUACCAUGCAAGCUUAAGCCGUUAGGUGUAGGCGCAGCGAAAGCGAGUCUGAAUAGGGCGACUGAGUAUGAUGGAUUAGACCCGAACCCCGGCGAUCUAGGCAUGGCCAGGUUGAAGGUGCGGUAACACGCACUGGAGGACCGAACCGGUGAAUGUUGAAAAAUUCUCGGAUGAGCUGUGUUUAGGGGUGAAAGGCCAAUCAAGCCGGGAAAUAGCUGGUUCUCCGCGAAAUCUAUUGAGGUAGAGCGUCGGAUGUAUGCCGAUGGGGGUAGAGCACUGGAUGGGCUAGGGCUGCGCGAGCGGUACCAAACCUAACCAAACUCCGAAUACCAUCGAGUCUUAUCCGGCAGACAGACGGCGGGUGCUAAGGUCCGUCGUCAAAAGGGAAACAGCCCUAACCUACAGCUAAGGUCCCCAAGUCAUAUCUAAGUGGGAAAGCAUGUGGGAAUCCCAAAACAACCAGGAGGUUGGCUUAGAAGCAGCCAUCCUUUAAAGAAAGCGUAACAGCUCACUGGUCUAAAUAA